Non-coding RNA from Podarcis lilfordi (Lilford's wall lizard), 847 nucleotides. The record is from the annotation of a GenBank genome assembly. NCBI's taxonomy places the organism in Eukaryota, Metazoa, Chordata, Lepidosauria, Squamata, Lacertidae.
GGCCACACAGCGAUUCCACAAAAGUCACUCUACAGGGUGUCUAUGUUGGGCUGGCAAUUUAAAGUACUGAUUGUGGUACAUUAUUGCUGGGGGGCGGGGCAAGUAAGGCACUUCAAAAACUAUUGUAGACACUAUGAAAAAUCAAACCAGGGCUUGCAUGUUGAGUUCUCUCUCCUGAAGAUUUGGUAGAACUUCCAUCAUGCAGUGAUGUCACAGUGUUAGGUAUCCCUGCCUGCCCAUUGGCUGGCAAUGGCACAGAACUCUGUGAUGCCACAAUAGAUAUUGCAGAGGGGAAGCAGAAAAUUAGACAUGCAGUUAUUUUUGGUGACAGACGUACAUCUGGUUAUUGGGCUCCUUUCAUGAGAUACAGUUGUGUUCACCUCAUGCAGGAUUUUGGGGGGAGGGGGAGGGGGGACUUGGAGAGCAUGAGUUGCUUAUGUCCGCUGUUUAGGCAAACAUGAUUCUCACUCCUUUUCCAUUUCACCUAGGAAAAGCCAAUUAUUUUGGACCAAGAACUGUUAAUUCUGGCAAAUAAAGGAUCUUACAGACCAAGAAUUGCAGUAUCCAACGUUAUUCCCUCUGGAUCUGUUUCUUCUGGACGAUGUGUCUGCAUCUGUGUUCAUUGGCUGCCUAACAACCCAACAACUGUGAAAUGACUUCCUGUGUCUACCAGCCAGCCGCAUAUUCCAUGCACCCUCCAAGAUAAUUCUGAUCAGCUGCUUUUCUAGGAUGCGAAGGUGUUUUCUAGAAUGAUGACCCUGUCAAGCAUUCUCCAUCUGAAUUUCAUUAACAGUAUUCUCAAAGCGAAGUGAAAAAUAUGCAUCUGGGGAACCAUAUAUAAUCUGAG